ACCUCACUUAGUAUGAGCAUCUCUAGUUGCAUCCAUGUUCUGCAAAUGGCAUUAUUUUAUUCUUUUUAAGGCUGAUACCACAUCUUCUUUAUCCGUUCCUCCGUUGAUGGGCAUCUAGGUUGCUUCCAUGUCUUGGCUAUUGUAAAUAGUGCCACAAUGAAUAUUGGGGUGCAUGUAUCUGUUCUACUUAUGGUUUUCUCCAGAUAGAUGCCCGGGAGUGAGAUUUGCUAGGUCAUAUGGUGUUUGUAUAUUUGGUUAUGUAAGCAACCUCAUUUUACACACAAUGCUGCUUUGGAGUACACAGGCGUGGUCCUGAGUUCUGGCUGCUCAAAGCACAAGAUGUGUGAUCUGGGCCUAGACCAAGAUUUUAGAGAUAAUUGAACACCAAAAAGAUGCUAAUGCAACUAAAGCAAAAAGUACACCAGAAAGUAUCAGAAGAUGGAGCAAGUUUCUGCUUUUUCCCAAGAUGAAAGCUACUUGAAUGAUUUUUUUAGAAUUUAUUUCCCCCAGACGUUGCUUGUGCCCCUGCUCUGCUGGUGUCCUUGGCUGGGAAGCCAGCACAGGGGAGUGCUGCCUCCUUCUCUAGAGGUUGUGUGUGUCAAAUAAUCAGGAGUAUGUUGUGAACCUCAUGCAAUGCCAGGCAUGCACACAAUCAUUUUUCUUUCUCAUCCCUGAUCCUUUUUUUCUCUCCAUAGACUUUUUAGAGACCAGUUUGAUGGGCCCCAGGGCAAUGUCUCUGGGCCUGGAACUGAGCUUGAUCAAAAGGUUGGAAGGCAAGCGCCAUGAUUGUAUACAUCAGUGCAUUCACAUGGGCUACUUUGAUUUUUUUUUCUCAAGCCAUUAGGAGUUAGCCACUGAAGAAGAUGACAAGUGGGAUGAGAUCUCCCAUCCCCUGUACAGUCUCAAAUGGGAAGAGUCAGGUGUGAGAAUACGAUAAAUAAAUUGCAUCUUUUAUAGGUGGUUUUGCUGGUUGCUCACUCCAAGCAUAUUUGCUUAGAUAAUAACAUCCAAAGCUCUUAGCUGAAACAGGGAAGGACCACCAACAGCAAGUUUACCGUCUCAAAGGUUCAGAGCUGAUCCUGAGGGUAUCCCAUUUCUUCUGAGCCCUGCAGAGGUUUAACAUCUAGUUUUGUCACUUCUGAAACAUUGGUUACCACCAGGAGGACUUUGACCUCCAUGCAUCUCUUCCCUGAGGAGCCAAAGACUAACUGCAAACAAGGACUUGUGUCCAACCCACCAUUUUCUCCUGUCGUUGUGUAGACCACCAAACCACAAGUAUGGCUUAGAAUGGAAUUAACCAGUUAAUCUUAUGUAAACCAUGCCACUUAAAUCUGAAUGACUUUUGCUAUGCUGUGUCUCAGGAGUUGUAGUUAUGACCCAGCUU
RNAcentral lists this long non-coding RNA (1384 nucleotides) under Sus scrofa (pig). RNAcentral's name for it is "lncRNA (ENSSSCG00005022060.1)". The record is from RNAcentral. Lineage: Eukaryota; Metazoa; Chordata; Mammalia; Artiodactyla; Suidae.